CACCGAGUCCGAGGUUCCGGGGUUCACCGGAGCCUGGUGCAAAAGGGA
Small RNA from Streptomyces curacoi, 48 nucleotides. It matches the Rfam family "raiA-hairpin RNA". The record is from Rfam. Lineage: Bacteria; Bacillati; Actinomycetota; Actinomycetes; Kitasatosporales; Streptomycetaceae.